This 380-nucleotide long non-coding RNA is filed under the name Dromaius novaehollandiae (emu). RNAcentral describes it as "lncRNA (ENSDNVG00000009619.1)". The record is from RNAcentral. Lineage: Eukaryota; Metazoa; Chordata; Aves; Casuariiformes; Dromaiidae.
UGCCCCCGCCGCCCCCCCGCAGCGGCCUGGGCUACAUCGCGGGGGCCAAGGUGAAGGAGGCCGCGGCCGACUGGCACUGGGCGCUGCGGGUGACGCCGGGGCUGGGCGUGGUGGCCGUGGUGCUGCUGUUCGUGGUGGUGAAGGAGCCGCCGCGGGGGGCCGUGGAGAGGCCCCCGGAUGCCCCCCUGCACUACACGUCGUGGGCCACCGACCUGCGGGCCCUGGCCACCAACCGCAGCUUCGUGCUGUCCACGCUGGGCUUCACGGCGGUGGCCUUCGUGACGGGGGCGCUGGCGCUGUGGGCGCCCGCCUUCCUCUACCGCUCGCGCCUGGCCAGCGGCGCCCGGGAGCCCUGCCCCGAGCCCCGGGGCUGCCACGCC